This 452-nucleotide ribosomal RNA is filed under the name uncultured Pelotomaculum sp. Its description in RNAcentral is "bacterial SSU rRNA". It matches the Rfam family "Bacterial small subunit ribosomal RNA", at positions 929 to 1382 of the family's 1533-position model. The record is from RNAcentral. Lineage: Bacteria; Bacillati; Bacillota; Clostridia; Eubacteriales; Desulfotomaculaceae.
GCGGUGGAGCAUGUGGUUUAAUUCGAAGCAACGCGAAGAACCUUACCAGGUCUUGACAUCCCGAUGCUAUUUCUAGAGAUAGAAAGUUACUUCGGUACAUCGGUGACAGGUGGUGCAUGGUUGUCGUCAGCUCGUGUCGUGAGAUGUUGGGUUAAGUCCCGCAACGAGCGCAACCCCUACGUUUAGUUGCUAACGCGUGAAGGCGAGCACUCUAGACGAACUGCCGUUGACAAAACGGAGGAAGUGGGAUGACGUCAAAUCAUCAUGCCCCUUAUGUUCUGGGCUACACACGUGCUACAAUGGCCGGUACAGACGGACGCAAAGCCGCGAGGUGGAGCAAAUCCGAAAAAGCCGGUCUCAGUUCGGAUUGCAGGCUGCAAUUCGCCUGCAUGAAGUCGGAAUCGCUAGUAAUCGCAGGUCAGCAUACUGCGGUGAAUACGUUCCCGGGCCUU